RNAcentral lists this long non-coding RNA (581 nucleotides) under Gossypium barbadense (sea-island cotton). RNAcentral describes it as "long non-coding RNA (GBAR_LNC013345)". The record is from RNAcentral. Lineage: Eukaryota; Viridiplantae; Streptophyta; Magnoliopsida; Malvales; Malvaceae.
AUCCAACUCAUAAUUUGUUGUCUUCUUACCUUUCCCUCGCUAUAAAAUCCCCUCAAUACUUCUCUUAAUACAACACAUCUCAUAAUGAUUCUUGUUGAGAAUCACUGCAUGCAAAAUGCCCAGAAACAAGAAGCUCAAUCUUCCCAGAGCAGGUGUUGUAGCCACUCAUGUUGAAGAAAAUAGGUUGCAGAGCAUCGAAUCAGUGAUUUACCAGAAAAGAGUUUGCCAAAAUGCUGAUUGCCGAGUUUUACAAGUCGGCUACCAAGCUAUUCUCUAACGGCACUUGGCAACUUUAUGAUAUUGAAUCAACUCCUUCUUCAAGCGUUCCUCUUUAGUGGAAAAUUUGAUGGGAAAAGUUGAUUCUUAAAUGAGAGGAAGAUACUCAAAGCUUUAUUUUCUAGUGAAUUGUAAUAACUUAUUGAGCUCAUCUUAUUAUUGUUUUAAAUCCAGUUAUUUACUGAAUUGUUUUUCAAAUAAAUUAUUUAAAGGAAUAUCCAUUCCACAAAAUGAUUAACUAUUACAAUCAAACAAUCCCUUCUGUAGAGAAAUAUAAUGUUAAAGAUAGAUUUCAUUUUCCAGAA